RNAcentral lists this ribosomal RNA (2870 nucleotides) under human gut metagenome. Its description in RNAcentral is "bacterial LSU rRNA". The stretch from base 608 to 2869 matches the Rfam family "Bacterial large subunit ribosomal RNA". The record is from RNAcentral.
AAAGAAGCCAUAAAAAUAGUUGGAAAAAUCAAUCAUCAUAAGAAAACCGACCGUUUCCACGCAGCUGGAAGCGGUCGGUUUUUCAUAAGAUAGAAAAUGGAGGAGGGUGUCUGAAUUCCGGCGAUUUCUUUCUUUUUUGCCGGAGAAAGGAAAAACUCGGUUUGCAGGAUUGUCUCUUUUCUUGUCAGGGGAAUCGCCCCGUGUUGAUAGAUUGCAGUCGUGGAAUCAUGUUGAAUUUAGCAAAAUAAAAUUAAGAGAGCGGCAGCCGAUUGUGUGGCGGUUGUUCGCUAUGUACAUUCUGCUGCGGAACAGGAAUCCGAAUCCGGUAUUCGAUGUGCGUAUCAGAUUGCAAUUUUUGUGCAUCAGCAGAAAUGCCAGCAGCCUGCAUGGUUUCGACUGCCUGAUGAAUGGUGUGGGCGAAUGCCCGAACAUUCUGAAAGACGGUGUUCCGUUUCCGAUAUGGUUCUCUGGAGGGAUGCUGUCCAAUUUUUUCUUCGACCGCAGCCUCUGUUUUUUCCACGUUCAGGUUCUGCUUAAUCACUUUAUCGAGAAUCUGAAGGCGUUCUUCCGGUGCUCGCAGGCGGAGUAAAGCCCGAGCAUGACGUUCCGUCAGGUUAUAUUGCAGGAUGAUGUCCCGUUCGGUUUCUGUCAGGCGGAGCAGCCGCAGUUUAUUUGCAAUAGUGCUUUGUGCCUUGCCCAGCUUUGCAGCAGCAUCUUCCUGUGUCAUACCGUAGUGGGAAAUUAGCCGUUCAAUGGCACUUGCUUCCUCGAAGAACGAGAGGUUUUGUUGCUGGAUUUGUUCAACCAGUGCUAAAAUUUCCGCACCGCGGGAAUGAUUGUCCGAGAGAAUACAGGGAACAAUCUGCAAGCCUGCUAAUUUUGCAGCUUGAAACUGUUCGCUGCCGGAUACCAGUUCAUACCGUUGGUCUGCGUUUUUCCGAACGGGGAACGGCUGGAGAAUGCCAGUCUGUGUAAUGCGGUUAACACCCCAGAUCAACCGCUAAGGUCCCCAAGUUCACGUUAAGUGGAGAAGGAUGUGGAAUUGCACAGACAACCAGGAUGUUGGCUCAGAAGCAGCCACACAUUUAAAGAGUGCGUAAUAGCUCACUGGUCGAGUGAUUGUGCGCCGAAGAUGUCCGGGGCUAAACGUGACACCGAAGCGAUGGGUGCAUCUGAAAGGAUGCGCGGUAGAGGAGCAAUGUGCAGAGGCAGAAGCCGUAUCGAGAGGCACGGUGGACACUGCACAAGAGAGAAUGCCGGUAUGAGUAGCGAGAGGCAUGCGAGAAACAUGCCCGUCGAAAGCCCAAGGUUUCCUGGGGAAGGUUCAUCCGCCCAGGGUAAGUCGGGGCCUAAGCCGAGGACGGAAGUCGUAGGCGAUGGACAGCAGGUGUAGAUUCCUGCACUACCGAUGGAAUGAAGCAGUGACACAGAAGGAUAACUCGAGCAGGGUGAUGGUCAACCCUGUGCAAGCAUCAAGGUUGGGUUGUAGUGAAGUACGCAAUCCUAUAAGCUGAGGUGUGAUGCGGACCGAAAUUUCAGUAGGGAAGCGAGUGAGUUCACGCUGGCGAGAAAAGCUGCUAGUAUAUCCAAAGGUACCCGUACCGGAAACCGACGCAGGUGGGCGAGGAGAGAAUCCUGAGACGAACGGGAGAACCCUUGUUAAGGAACUCGGCAAAAUGACCCCGUAACUUCGGGAUAAGGGGUGCCUGCGAGAGCAGGCCGCAGAGAAUAGUCACAAGCGACUGUUUAGCAAAAACACAGGUAUCUGCGAAAGCGAGAGCUGACGUAUAGGUGCUGACACCUGCCCGGUGCUGGAAGGUUAAGGGAACAUGUUAGAGCAAUCGAAGCAUCGAACCGAAGCCCCAGUAAACGGCGGCCGUAACUAUAACGGUCCUAAGGUAGCGAAAUUCCUUGUCGGGUAAGUUCCGACCCGCACGAAUGGUGUAACGACUUGUGAGCUGUCUCAACAGGGGGCCCGGUGAAAUUGAAGUAUGGGUGAAGAUGCCCAUUACCCGCGACUGGACGGAGAGACCCCGUAGAGCUUUACUGCAGCCUGAUAUUGAGUUUCGGUAACUGAUGCACAGGAUAGGUGGGAGUCUGAGAGACACGGGUUUCGGCUCGUGAGGAGACGCUGUUGGGAUACCACUCUUCGGUUACUGAAAUUCUAACAUAGCUCUGUGAAACCAGAGGAUGGACAGUGUCAGGUGGACAGUUUGACUGGGGCGGUCGCCUCCGAAAGAGUAACGGAGGCGCCCAAAGGUACCCUCAGAAUGGAUGGAAACCAUUCGAAGAGAGCAAAGUCAGAAGGGUGCUUGACUGCGAGACCAACAAGUCGAGCAGGUACGAAAGUAGGGCUUAGUGAUCCGGCGGUAAGAGAGUGGAAUUGCCGUCGCUCAACGGAUAAAAGCUACCUCGGGGAUAACAGGCUGAUCUCCCCCAAGAGUUCACAUCGACGGGGAGGUUUGGCACCUCGAUGUCGGCUCGUCACAUCCUGGGGCUGAAGCAGGUCCCAAGGGUUCGGCUGUUCGCCGAUUAAAGUGGCACGCGAGCUGGGUUCAAAACGUCGUGAGACAGUUUGGUCCCUAUCCAUCGUGGGCGUAGGAUACUUGAGAGGGCUUGUCCUUAGUACGAGAGGACCGGGAUGAACGCACCUACUGUGCACCUGUUGUCGCGCCAGCGGCAUGGCAGGGUAGCGGAGUGCGGUUGAGAUAAACGCUGAAAGCAUCUAAGCGUGAAACUCACCUCAAGAUAAGGUAUCCCAUAUCGUAAGAUAGUAAGACCCCUUGCAGACAACAAGGUUGAUAGGUCGGAGGUGGAAGUACAGUAAUGUAUGCAGCUGACCGAUACUAAUAGGUCGAGGGCUUGAUCUC